GAAAUGCGAUAAGUAAUGUGAAUUGCAGAAUUCAGUGAAUCAUCGAAUCUUUGAACGCACAUUGCGCCCGCCAGUAUUCUGGCGGGCAUGCCUGUUCGAGCGUCAUUACAACCCUCAGGCCCCCGGGCCUGGCGUUGGGGAUCGGCGGAAGCCCCCUGCGGGCACAACGCCGUCCCCCAAAUACAGUGGCGGUCCCGCCGCAGCUUCCAUUGCGUAGUAGCUAACACCUCGCAACUGGAGAGCGGCGCGGCCACGCCGCAAAACACCCAACUUCUGAAUGUUGACCUCGAAUCAGGUAGGAAUACCCGCUGAACUUAAGC
RNAcentral lists this unclassified non-coding RNA (320 nucleotides) under plant metagenome. RNAcentral's name for it is "partial contains 5.8S ribosomal RNA, internal transcribed spacer 2, and large subunit ribosomal RNA". The stretch from base 1 to 105 matches the Rfam family "5.8S ribosomal RNA", at positions 50 to 154 of the family's 154-position model. The record is from RNAcentral.